GCCAUCAGGCAUAUCACCCUGCAGCCCAAGACCAGUUACUCACUGAAGCUAAGCAGGGCUCAGCAAGGUCCGUACCUGGAUAGGAGACAACAUGGGAAAAAACACGUUUGCUGUUGGAA
Danio rerio (zebrafish) is the source of this 119-nucleotide ribosomal RNA. Lineage: Eukaryota; Metazoa; Chordata; Actinopteri; Cypriniformes; Danionidae. The record is from Ensembl.